GACGAACGCUGGCGGCGUGCUUAACACAUGCAAGUCGAACGGAGUGGCGAACGGGUGAGUAACACGUGGGUGAUCUGCCUUGCACUUCGGGAUAAGCUUGGGAAACUGGGUCUAAUACCGGAUAGUGCAAGAUGAGCUCGCGGCCUAUCAGCUUGUUGGUGGGGUAAUGGCCUACCAAGGCGUCGACGGGUAGCCGGCCUGAGAGGGUGUACGGCCACAUUGGGACUACGAGAGGGCGCAGACUCGUACGGGGCGCAGCAGGGGGGAAUAUGGCACAAUGGGCGGAAGCGUGAUGCAGCGACGCCGGGGGGGGGAUGAAGGCUUUCGGGUUGUAAACUCCUUGAGACAGGGACGCGUUACCUGUAUAAGAAGCACCGGCUAACUACGUGCCAGCAGCCGCGGUAAUAC
This 408-nucleotide ribosomal RNA is filed under the name uncultured bacterium. Its description in RNAcentral is "partial 16S ribosomal RNA". It matches the Rfam family "Bacterial small subunit ribosomal RNA", at positions 28 to 526 of the family's 1533-position model. The record is from RNAcentral.